RNAcentral lists this ribosomal RNA (433 nucleotides) under uncultured bacterium. RNAcentral's name for it is "partial 16S ribosomal RNA". It matches the Rfam family "Bacterial small subunit ribosomal RNA", at positions 29 to 507 of the family's 1533-position model. The record is from RNAcentral.
AACGAACGCUGGCGGCAUGCCUAACACAUGCAAGUCGAACGAGACCUUCGGGUCUAGUGGCGCACGGGUGCGUAACGCGUGGGAACCUGCCCUUAGGUUCGGAAUAACUCCCCGAAAGGGGUGCUAAUACCGGAUAAUGUCUUCGGACCAAAGAUUUAUCGCCUUUGGAUGGGCCCGCGUUGGAUUAGAUAGUUGGUAGGGUAAAAGCCUACCAAGGCGACGAUCCAUAGCUGGUCUGAGAGGAUGAUCAGCCACACUGGGACUGAGACACGGCCCAGACUCCUACGGGAGGCAGCAGUGGGGAAUAUUGGACAAUGGGCGAAAGCCUGAUCCAGCAAGGCCGCGUGAGUGAUGAAGGCCGUAGGGUUGUAAAGCGCUGUUACCCGGGAUGAUAAUGACAGUACCGGGAGAAUAAGCGCCGGCUAACUCCGUG